GAUGAACGCUGGCGGCAUGCCUUACACAUGCAAGUCGAACGGUAACAGGUCUUCGGAUGCUGACGAGUGGCGAACGGGUGAGUAAUACAUCGGAACGUGCCUAGUAGUGGGGGAUAACUACUCGAAAGAGUGGCUAAUACCGCAUGAGAUCUACGGAUGAAAGCAGGGGAUCGCAAGACCUUGUGCUACUAGAGCGGCCGAUGGCAGAUUAGGUAGUUGGUGGGAUAAAAGCUUACCAAGCCGACGAUCUGUAGCUGGUCUGAGAGGACGAUCGGCCACACUGGGACUGAGAGACGGCCCAGACUCCUACGGGAGGCAGCAGUGGGGAAUUUUGGAACAUGGGCGAAAGCCUGAUCCAGCAAUGCCGCGUGCAGGAUGAAGGCCUUCGGGUUGUAAACUGCUUUUGUACGGAACGAAAAGCCCCGGGUUAAUACCCUGGGGUCAUGACGGUACCGUAAGAAUAAGCACCGGCUAACUACGUGCCAGCCGCCGCCGUAA
RNAcentral lists this ribosomal RNA (498 nucleotides) under uncultured bacterium. RNAcentral describes it as "partial 16S ribosomal RNA". It matches the Rfam family "Bacterial small subunit ribosomal RNA", at positions 28 to 523 of the family's 1533-position model. The record is from RNAcentral.